AAGAGAGAGAGAGAGAA
Molecule: small RNA, 17 nt
Filed under: Arabidopsis thaliana (thale cress)
Lineage: Eukaryota; Viridiplantae; Streptophyta; Magnoliopsida; Brassicales; Brassicaceae
Description: ATSL302200
Source: RNAcentral